This 85-nucleotide transfer RNA is filed under the name Candidatus Entotheonella factor. Its description in RNAcentral is "Candidatus Entotheonella sp. TSY1 tRNA". It matches the Rfam family "tRNA". Rfam says of the family: Transfer RNA (tRNA) molecules are approximately 80 nucleotides in length. Lineage: Bacteria; Pseudomonadati; Candidatus Tectimicrobiota; Candidatus Entotheonellia; Candidatus Entotheonellales; Candidatus Entotheonellaceae. The record is from Rfam by way of RNAcentral.
GGAGAGAUGGCCGAGUGGUCGAAGGCGGUUGAUUCGAAAUCAACUGUGGGGCAACUCACCGGGGGUUCGAAUCCCUCUCUCUCCG